RNAcentral lists this long non-coding RNA (374 nucleotides) under Pongo abelii (Sumatran orangutan). RNAcentral's name for it is "lincRNA". The record is from RNAcentral. Lineage: Eukaryota; Metazoa; Chordata; Mammalia; Primates; Hominidae.
AGGACAUCUCUCUAAGAAUUAUCUAAGUGACUGAUGAAUCAGAGGGAUACCUAAAUACGAAAACUGAGUGAAAACACCAAAGGAUGAGCCAAGUUUGCCAAUGAUAGAGAUGAUAUCCUACUCAUGUUUGCUCUGAAGCAGCUAAUACAAUGCUUCAUACAUGGCUUCCUUGUGAUGUUCAACUUAAGCUGACUUUUUCCAGAUACAAAUGUUGUGGGUGGCAGCAGAAAAACCCAGCACCUGGGCUCACAUAGUGCUUAUGCCCAGUCUCGAUCUUGAUGCACAUGCACCCCAUGUGUACUUCCCCUGUCUGUCUAAUAUCACUGAGUUUCCUUAUGACUUCAGUUCUUAAAAAUUUCAUCACCAUAACAUCA